UGAUAAUUAUAUUUUUGGGGAAAAGAAUGUCACCAAUAUUGCUGCCAGAUGGUGAAAAGAACAUGAAUGCAAAUGAUGAACCACUUGCAAAGUUGCAGUCUCUGUGCCAAUUCUUCUCUGAUGCCAAUACCCGGGUAGGAGUUGAUGAGGAAUACACUCUCCAGGACCUCAAUCUGCAUGGAGCCCAAGAAGAUAUAUCAAUCAUACAAUCAAAUUGUAUUUUUGUUAUUUUCACAAAAACAUCUGUCACAAAGUGAAUAACAGUAACUAUCACAGCCCCCCCAAAAUGUGAAAACAUAGGCCUACAGGAUAUGUCACAGAUGUAAAUCAGAAAUGCUUUUUAAAAGUUGAUUUAUAAUAUCUCUAUCAAUCAA
Molecule: long non-coding RNA, 374 nt
Organism: Oncorhynchus kisutch (coho salmon)
Lineage: Eukaryota; Metazoa; Chordata; Actinopteri; Salmoniformes; Salmonidae
Exons: 2
Source: RefSeq, a predicted model, not a curated record